GAACGCUGGCGGCAUGCCUUACACAUGCAAGUCGAACGGCAGCACGGGAGCAAUCCUGGUGGCGAGUGGCGAACGGGUGAGUAAUACAUCGGAACGUGCCCAGUUGUGGGGGAUAGCCCGGCGAAAGCCGGAUUAAUACCGCAUACGACCUACGGGUGAAAGCGGGGGAUCGCAAGACCUCGCGCAAUUGGAGCGGCCGAUGGCAGAUUAGCUUGUUGGUGGGGUAAAAGCCUACCAAGGCGACGAUCUGUAGCUGGUCUGAGAGGACGACCAGCCACACUGGGACUGAGACACGGCCCAGACUCCUACGGGAGGCAGCAGUGGGGAAUUUUGGACAAUGGGAGCAAGCCUGAUCCAGCCAUGCCGCGUGUGGGAAGAAGGCCUUCGGGUUGUAAACCACUUUUGUCAGGGAAGAAACGGUCUGAUCUAAUAAAUCGGACUAAUGACGGUACCUGAAGAAUAAGCACCGGCUAACUACGUGCCAGCAGCCGCGGUAAUACGUAGGGUGCAAGCGUUAAUCGGAAUUACUGGGCGUAAAGCGUGCGCAGGCGGCUAUGCAAGACAGAUGUGAAAUCCCCGGGCUCAACCUGGGAACUGCAUUUGUGACUGCAUGGCUAGAGUACGGCAGAGGGGGAUGGAAUUCCGCGUGUAGCAGUGAAAUGCGUAGAUAUGCGGAGGAACACCGAUGGCGAAGGCAAUCCCCUGGGCCUGUACUGACGCUCAUGCACGAAAGCGUGGGGAGCAAACAGGAUUAGAUACCCUGGUAGUCCACGCCCUAAACGAUGUCAACUGGUUGUUGGACGGCUUGCUGUUCAGUAACGAAGCUAACGCGUGAAGUUGACCGCCUGGGGAGUACGGCCGCAAGGUUGAAACUCAAAGGAAUUGACGGGGACUCGCACAAGCGGUGGAUGAUGUGGUUUAAUUCGAUGCAACGCGAAAAACCUUACCUACCCUUGACAUGUCUAGAAGUUUCCAGAGAUGGAUUCGUGCUCGAAAGAGAACUAGAACACAGGUGCUGCAUGGCCGUCGUCAGCUCGUGUCGUGAGAUGUUGGGUUAAGUCCCGCAACGAGCGCAACCCUUAUCAUUAGUUGCUACGCAAGGGCACUCUAAUGAGACUGCCGGUGACAAACCGGAGGAAGGUGGGGAUGACGUCAGGUCAUCAUGGCCCUUAUGGGUAGGGCUACACACGUCAUACAAUGGCCGGUACAGAGGGCUGCCAACUCGCGAGAGGGAGCUAAUCUCAGAAAACCGGUCGUAGUCCGGAUCGCAGUCUGCAACUCGACUGCGUGAAGUCGGAAUCGCUAGUAAUCGCGGAUCAGCUUGCCGCGGUGAAUACGUUCCCGGGUCUUGUACACACCGCCCGUCACACCAUGGGAGCGGGUUCUGCCAGAAGUAGUUAGCCUAACCGCAAGGAGGGCGAUUACCACGGCAGGGUUCGUGACUGGGGUGAAGUCGUAACAAGGUA
RNAcentral lists this ribosomal RNA (1466 nucleotides) under metagenome. Its description in RNAcentral is "bacterial SSU rRNA". It matches the Rfam family "Bacterial small subunit ribosomal RNA". The record is from RNAcentral.